CGACGAAAAAGAUGAGCAUGCGUCCCAUUAGUUAGUUGGUAAGGUAACGGCUUACCAAGACAAUGAUGGGUAGGGGUCCUGAGAGGGAGAUCCCCCACACUGGUACUGAGACACGGACCAGACUCCUACGGGAGGCAGCAGUGAGGAAUAUUGGUCAAUGGGCGCAAGCCUGAACCAGCCAUGCCGCGUGCAGGAAGACGGUCCUAUGGAUUGUAAACUGCUUUUAUACAGGAAGAAACCCUCCCACGUGUGGGAGCUUGACGGUACUGUAGGAAUAAGGAUCGGCUAACUCCGUG
This 296-nucleotide ribosomal RNA is filed under the name uncultured bacterium. RNAcentral's name for it is "partial 16S ribosomal RNA". It matches the Rfam family "Bacterial small subunit ribosomal RNA", at positions 214 to 507 of the family's 1533-position model. The record is from RNAcentral.